AUUGAACGCUGGCGGCAGGCUUAACACAUGCAAGUCGAGCGGGGUGAUGGUGCUUGCACUAUCACUUAGCGGCGGACGGGUGAGUAAUGCUUAGGAAUCUGCCUAUUAGUGGGGGACAACAUCUCGAAAGGGAUGCUAAUACCGCAUACGUCCUACGGGAGAAAGCAGGGGAUCACUUGUGACCUUGCGCUAAUAGAUGAGCCUAAGUCGGAUUAGCUAGUUGGUGGCGUAAAGGCCUACCAAGGCGACGAUCUGUAGCGGGUCUGAGAGGAUGAUCCGCCACACUGGGACUGAGACACGGCCCAGACUCCUACGGGAGGCAGCAGUGGGGAAUAUUGGACAAUGGGGGGAACCCUGAUCCAGCCAUGCCGCGUGUAUGAAGAAGGCCUUAUGGUUGUAAAGCACUUUAAGCGAGGAGGAGGCUCUUUUGGUUAAUACCCAAGAUGAGUGGACGUUACUCGCAGAAUAAGCACCGGCUAACUCUGUGCCAGCCGCCGCGGUAA
Molecule: ribosomal RNA, 503 nt
Filed under: uncultured bacterium
Lineage: Bacteria
Description: partial 16S ribosomal RNA
Rfam family: Bacterial small subunit ribosomal RNA
Source: RNAcentral